GACGAACGCUGGCGGCGUGCUUAACACAUGCCAGUCGAACGCUGAAGCACCAGCUUGCUGGUGUGGAUGAGUGGCGAACGGGUGAGUAAUACGUGAGUAACCUGCCCUUGACUCUGGGAUAAGCCCGGGAAACUGGGUCUAAUACUGGAUGCUACAUGUCACCGCAUGGUGGUGUGUGGAAAGGGUUUACUGGUCUUGGAUGGGCUCACGGCCUAUCAGCUUGUUGGUGAGGUAAUCGCUCACCAAGGCGACGACGGGUAGCCGGCCUGAGAGGGUGACCGGCCACACUGGGACUGAGACACGGCCCAGACUCCUACGGGAGGCAGCAGUGGGGAAUAUUGCACAAUGGGCGAAAGCCUGAUGCAGCGACGCCGCGUGAGGGAUGACGGCCUUCGGGUUGUAAACCUCUUUCAGCAGGGAAGAAGCCACAAGUGACGGUACCUGCAGAAGAAGCGCCGGCUAACUACGUG
Molecule: ribosomal RNA, 470 nt
Filed under: uncultured bacterium
Lineage: Bacteria
Description: partial 16S ribosomal RNA
Rfam family: Bacterial small subunit ribosomal RNA
Source: RNAcentral